This 367-nucleotide ribosomal RNA is filed under the name uncultured bacterium. Its description in RNAcentral is "partial 16S ribosomal RNA". It matches the Rfam family "Bacterial small subunit ribosomal RNA", at positions 338 to 702 of the family's 1533-position model. The record is from RNAcentral.
ACUACGGGGGGCAGCAGUGAGGAAUAUUGGUCAAUGGGCGCGAGCCUGAACCAGCCAAGUAGCGUGAAGGAUGACUGCCCUACGGGUUGUAAACUGCUUUUAUAAAGGAAUAAAGUGAGGCACGUGUGCCUUUUUGUAUGUACUUUAUGAAUAAGGAUCGGCUAACUCCGUGCCAGCAGCCGCGGUAAGCCGGAGGAUCCGAGCGUUAUCCGGAUUUAUUGGUUUGAAAGUGAGCGUAGUUGGGUUGUUAAGUCAGUUGUGAAAGUUUGCGGCUCAACCGUAAAAUUGCAAUUGAUACUGGCAGCCUUGCGUACAGUUGAGGCCGGCGGCAUUCGUGGUGUAGCUGUGAAAUGCUUAGCUAUCACGA